CGGGGUGCACCAGGCGCGAAAACUCCACAAUGUACGGAAGUACGAUGGGGUUAUCUCGAGUGCAGUCCGAUAAGGGCUGCUUUUCCAUAGAGUAAUAUCCUGUGGGAAUAAGAGGGGGGCAAGACUGGUGUCAGCCGCCGCGGUAGCACCAGCCCCUCGAGUGGUGGGGACUAUUAUUUGGCCUAAAGCGUCCGUAGCUGGCUGUAUCCGUCCCCCGUUAAAUCCAGCGUCCUAAGCGUUGGACCGCGGGUGAUACCAUACAGCUAGAGGGUGGGAUAGGUGAGCGGUAUUUCUGGGGUAGGGGCGAAAUCCUUUGAUCCCAGGAGGACCACCAGUGGCGAAGGCUGCUCACUAGAACACGCCUGACGGUCAGGGACGAAAGCUGGGGCAGCGAACCGGAUUAGAUACCCGGGUAGUCCCAGCUGUAAACGAUGCUAGCUAGGUGUUGGGUCGGCCACGCGCCGCCCCAGUGCCGCAGGGAAGCCGUUAAGCUAGCCGCCUGGGGAGUACGGCCGCAAGGCUGAAACUUAAAGGAAUUGGCGGGG
Molecule: ribosomal RNA, 545 nt
Filed under: uncultured archaeon
Lineage: Archaea
Description: bacterial SSU rRNA
Rfam family: Archaeal small subunit ribosomal RNA
Source: RNAcentral